UCCAGACUCCUACGGGAGGCAGCAGUGAGGAAUAUUGGUCAAUGGGCUUACGCCUGAACCAGCCAAGUCGCGUGAGGGAAGACUGCCCUAUGGGUUGUAAACCUCUUUUGUCAGGGAGCAACGCCGGCUACGUGUAGCCGGACUGAGAGUACCUGAAGAAAAAGCAUCGGCUAACUCCGUGCCAGCAGCCGCGGUAAUACGGAGGAUGCGAGCGUUAUCCGGAUUUAUUGGGUUUAAAGGGUGCGCAGGCGGAGGUGCAAGUCAGUGGUCAAAUUGCGGGGCUCAAACCCGCACUGCCGUUGAAACUGCGUCCCUUGAGUGCGCGAGAAGUAUGCGGAAUGCGUGGUGUAGCGGUGAAAUGCAUAGAUAUCACGCAGAACUCCGAUUGCGAAGGCAGCAUACCGGCGCGCAACUGACGCUCAUGCACGAAAGCGUGGGUAUCGAACAGGAUUAGAUACCCUAGUAAGA
This 468-nucleotide ribosomal RNA is filed under the name uncultured bacterium. RNAcentral describes it as "bacterial SSU rRNA". It matches the Rfam family "Bacterial small subunit ribosomal RNA", at positions 330 to 794 of the family's 1533-position model. The record is from RNAcentral.